Molecule: long non-coding RNA, 10915 nt
Filed under: Homo sapiens (human)
Lineage: Eukaryota; Metazoa; Chordata; Mammalia; Primates; Hominidae
Description: non-protein coding LINC00898:11
Source: RNAcentral
GUUUGGAUUCUCUCUGCCUGACCCAAGGCAGACAUCCGUUCCCUCUGGCCGUUGGUACUCCUGGUUCUCAGGGAUUCAGACUCUGACUGGCGUCCACUCCAUUGGAUCCCGGCCCUCAGGUCUUGGAACUUGCACUGCCAGCAUUCCUGGGUGUCCGGCUUGCGGACAGCAGAUCGUGGGACUUCUCAGCCUCCAGAAUUGCACGAAGUGUCUCCUUACGAAUCUCUUCCUAUGUACGUGUAUCCUAUUGGCUCUGUUUCUCUGCAGAACCCUGACUAAUGCAAACCCUCUCAUCUCACAGCAGUGCAUGUACAAACCCACUCACAUCUUCCCCUCCCCUGCCUUCCCUACCGCAAGUUCCCUCCGACCAGAGGCCAAUCCCGCUGCGGUGCCCCGGACCCACCCUCUGCACCAGCCUUCCUUCUUGUUUUCUAAAAGCUCGCGUUUUCUGUGGGCUUCCAAGGCUGCUCUUCAGUAUCUUUACGUCAGAGCCUCCCAGCUCCUUCCCCUCUCUCAAAAGCGUUUUCACAGGGACUGUAGGCUCCUUCCCUCCCCUUGAUAACCAAGUACUAUGCCCCAGGUUCUUACCUCACAGCCCAAAGUUGUCCUAAGUCGGGCCCUGACCUGAGUGUCUCCAAAUCCAGCAGGCCGUCUGCUCUCCUGUGACAUGCAGCAUCCCACGGCUUUUCCUAAAAGACCCCCUCUGUCAGCUUUGCUGUCACCCACCCUCCAGGGCUCUCUCUUACAGGUCUGCCCUUUGCUAGCAUCUUAGCCUCUCCACCUCCCGGUGGUCCUGUCUGCGAUGGACCCCCUCCAUGUGUCCCAAGGCCCUCCAAAGGAACAGGUGCUGGCUGACCCUGCCCUGUGGGAGGUGAUGGACAGGCACACAGGGGGAGCCCCGCAAACAAGGGGCCCUGUUACAGCAGAGUGGGAGAGCGCCUGGUAGGACGCCAAGCACCGUGGCCGGGCUGCAGAGAGGCCUGCGGGACUUGUAGACAAGACGUCAUGGAGAAGGCGGAGCUCCCAUGGGCCUUGCAGGUUUCACCAAGCAAGAGCGGAGAAGACACAGGCUGGACAAAGGAAGGUGGACGGGACAGCCAGCCGUGCAGCAGCCUCACAGGACACAGCUGUCGCUUCCCCUGGCACCUAAGCUUGCCUGAAAGUUGGGAAUAUGAUGACUCACCGUAUUUGGCAGCUCGUAUGCGUCUAUAUUUCAAGACAUUCAUGCUCAUGCUCAUUAUAAUUAGGGCUGGAGAAUCAGCACAGUCAACUGCCAAAAUCAAGUGCACAAUUCAUAUCAACCUUUCAGACCAGACAGAGAGCACCAGCUGACACUCAUUCCUCCAGCACCAGGAAAUGCCACAGCAGAAGAGAGUCUUCAAGAUGGGCCAGACCCACUUCUGCAGCAUGGUUGCUGGGAGCCUGCACAGGCCAGGCAUUUCUCUACAGGUGCAAUUGAGAACUCACUGAGGCAAAAGGGCCUUUGUCAACCCACAGAAGUGACAAGUCCAAGUGCAGACCAGGCUUCAGGUAUGGCUUGAUGGAGGCACACACGCUGUCUUUCCAGCUUCCAGUGUAGGGUGUCUGGGUGCCCUCUACUGACAAGAUGGUAGCAGGAGCCAGAGACUUUCUGUCCUCUCAGUGACAAGUUCAGAGGGAAAGCCAGGGCCCUGGCCAACAUUUCCGUGUGUCCCCUCUGUGUACCCAGUCCUCACGUCCAUCUCUGUGUGGCUGGAGGAGUGUAAUGUCCAGAGCUGCUCGGGUCUAAAUCACUCAGGCCUCACCUGCCAGGAAAGGUGUUUCCCCAGCUUCAGGGACCAGAAGUGGGGGGAAGGAUGUCCCAGGAAAAUGUAGGUGGAUGUGUCCAGCAAAGAGUAACCAGACACUGGGGCAGCAAGGACCUAGGUUCACCCCAGAAGGCUGGCUUCCACCCAACAAAGACAUCACCAUGGGAGCUAGAGACAGACCGGGAGGAGGUGAGAGGACAGAGCCCAGGGUCCUUGCACGGCCCAGGCGGAAGGGGGCACUGAGGGGACAAGGGCAGAGAACUGGGCAGCCUAGGGCAGGCUCACCCUCAGACAGGCUGGCAGAAAGGGGUUGCCAGGCUGGCAGAAGAGGGGUCACCAGCAAAGCAGGAGUGGGCAGAGGCAAGAGGCACAGAAGGCAGAGGCCGUUCUGCCGCAGUGCAGCAUCCGAUCAGCGGCUGGUCAGCAGCUGGAGGCUACUCUCCUCUACUCCACAGGUCCAGUUGCUCUUCAGAACUCAAAAUCCCAUCUCUGCAGGUCUCAGCCAAUCCUGCUCCCGCCUGUUUUUAUUUCCUGCCCAGAGCAAGUACAGAACCGAGGGCCAUCGAUGGGCGAGAAAUCACUGUGCCUCCAAGCUGUAUUUUUCACCGUAACAAGUCAUUACUUCUGUGCCCGGAGUCAUUUCUCAGGAUCUUAAUGCAUUCGUUUAUCAAUCAAUACUUAACUGAUGUCUAUAAAGCAUGUUCAAAAUCAGAGGUGAGAGCAGCUCACCAGGUACCGACUUCGUGUCUGGAGCCACCUUGUUAAGGAGCAACCCUUGGCACGGGUCCCGUGUCUGCACCCUCGGGAGCUCUGGGUGGGUGCACUGGGGUCCUCACAGCCCUUCCCACCACCGCAGAUGGAAAUCUCUACCUGGCAGAGGGGCUCAGUCGUCCCCACCUGGGAGUCUGGGGCCUACCGGCAGCAGAAGGUGCAGUGGCCAAACACAGAGACAUUUCUAUCAUCAGACCUGGUCCCCAGCCUGACUCUGCUGCCCACUUACCCCUGGCCAGGGCGAGUUCAUCGACUGUGCCGAGCCUGGCUGCUUCUCCAGCCUAACAGGAGUCCCCGUCUCGACAGGACUGAGUGGGGUGAAUGCAGCCAAGUGCUCAGCAGAGACUGUCCCACCGGGAAGUGUUCACAAAUAUGGGCUGUUGAACCUGCUGUUGUUAGAUCUAGAUCCAGUUCUGCGACCACGUUCAUGACUUAGAUCAUAACUGAAGUGCGGGCCAGCCGAGGCCGGGCCGUUUAGGGGUUUGGCUGCUAAUUCAAGAAGGACACCUGGGUUUGGAUCCCAGAGUUCCCUCCAGACCCAGAUGUGGCCUCAGGCAGGUGAUGAGCCUGGAGAUGCGGUUUCAUUUUCUGCAGGGUGGUCAAAGGAGAUCUCAGGCUUGUAGGAGACAAAGCACAUCGCCCCGAACUGCUCAGGAGGCGCAGAUUACAGCCACCCUCCUUAUCCACCCCGUCUCCCAUCACAGCCCUCAUGAGUGCUCAAGCAAGGCUCAGGGCCUGAUGGACGUGGCUGCCUCCUCCUAGAGGACAGGCAUGUCUCGGCUGCCUGCACCAGCCAGCGGCCCUUCUCCCCGGCCAGGAGAUCCUCCAAGGAAGGCCAAGGGCCAAGCAGGUAGGCUAGGGAUGGGCUCUGGUACAUGGGCCCCAUUCCCAUGAUUGGAAACUUCCCAGGCGCCAUUUGUCACCUUGACUCGCUGUUUCAAGCCCGGCUCUCCCUGGGGCGCCAGGAGUGGGCCCAGGCCCUUCCGACAGCCGGCCUGCAGCUGUGCUGGUGACUGAUUGGGGAUGAGGCCACUGUCCCUGCCUUCCUGGGAGCCAGGAUGUUGAUUGAAUGGCCAUUUCACUCUCUCCAACAAGCAAGUAACAGUGUAAACUGGGGUCUAAUUUAUCAAAAACAGUCGCUUGUAUUCUGCGUGGCCCAUGUUCUGGGCUGAAACAGCCGCUACCCAGCUCCUGGCCCACGUGCGUGCGAUUUCCUGAUAUUUCAGUUUUAUGGAAGACAUCUCACUGACGAAUGUCUCUUAGUGAACGAUCAUUCUGGAAGCUAUUUUGCCUUCAAAGAGGCUUCUCCUGGAAUGGGCUGGGAGGGGCGGGCACCGUGUUAUAUAUAAAUUCACUGCCAGGAGCGCCCAGCAGGGGAGGGAAUGAGAUCGGCAGGAGAUGAGAAUGAAAUGUGUGCGGCUGCAGCCAAGCCUGUCCUCCCUGUCACCGUCCGAGGGCUGCUGGGAUGGGCGGGAAGGCCAGAUGUGGGACAGGUGGCCCAAGUGACGCCCCCAGCUUCACCACCUGCCACUGCCUGGCCUUGGGCAGCUCACUCCCUCUGGGAGCCUGGGCUUCUCACGGGGCAUAAUGAUUUACAAAUUGCUGCCACUUCUCUGCUUGCUCUCGACCAUCAUUACACGUCAGGCAGGGCUGGGACUGGAGGCUGAGCUGUGUCCCAGCUACGGGUGACCGUGCCAGAGCUGCCAGGGAUCCUGAGGCACAAUGAGAGCCUUCCUUCCACCCACCGUGCGCUUUCUGCCUGUGAUGUGGCCGAGACAUCGCAGGCUGUGGGGUCCUCAGCGCUCAGGCUCCCUGUACUCUCUCUCCCUGCAUACCUGGACCUCCGUUCUCUCUUGCUGGAGGCCUAGAAAAAGUCCCUGGAAUGAAAUCACUCAGGCUCUGGUGCAGACACUGGCACCGCCUGUCCAGGGGGCCCCGGAUAAGUCCCUCCCACUCUCUGGACUCAGGGGCCAUGUCUGCAAAUGAGGCUGGAAAACGAGAUGGUCCCUACAAGGCCCUCUGGUACCUGGAGGGACUGAGUGUCCCAGCCUGGGCCCUGCAGCAGCCCUUCCAUAUCAUGCAUGCAAGGGACUCUGAAUCCCAACCCCACCAUUAGAAGGGCCGCUGUCAGCCAAGAACAGGAUCGUCAUCCCCUCCGUCCCCUGCACAACGGAGCAUAGCUGCCCCUUUCUACCAUCUUUGUUCUAGGUUGAGGUUCUCAAAGGGGAGUCCCAGGCCAGCAGCAUCAGUCCCACCUUGUAGUGUGCUAGAAAUGCAGAUUCUCAGGCCCCUCUGCGGUCUAUAGAAUUCAGAAGUCAGGUGCUGGGGCCCAGGAAUCUACUUUAACAGGCUGCAUUUUCUGCAGCUGCUGGAGCAGAUGACCACAAACUCAGUGACUGCAGAGUGCACGCGCUCAUCACCUUACAGUUGUGUAGGCUGGGAUCCCACUGGGCUAAGACCAAGGUGUUGGGAGGCUGCGUUUCUUGCUGGAUGCUGUAAGGGAGAAGUCGUUUCCUCGUGUUUUUUUAACUUCCUUGGCCCACGGACCUUCCUCCACCUUCAAAGCCAGCAGCCUCGCGUCUUCUGACCUUCCAUUGUCACAUCGUCAUCUGACCCACGUAAGGACCCGUGUGAUUAGGGUGGGCGCACCCGGGUAAUCUUCCCAUCUCAAAGUCCUUGACUGAAUCACAUCUGCAAAGUCCCCUUUGCUACGUAAGGUCACAUGUUCACAAGAUCCAGGGAUUAGGACUUGGACAUUUUUGGAAGCCCAUUGUCCUGCCAACAGCACAAGACCUCCAGGUGAUCCUGAUGUGUAACGCACAGUGAGAGACAAAUGCUCUGAUGGACCAUCAACAGCAGAACGUAAGCAGGGAGAGGGACCCCGCCUUCCUCCCCAAUCUGGCCCUGUGCCUAGCAAAUUAUAGAACUUUUGUAAGCAAAUGAGUUCAUUUGUGAAUAAAUGAACGACCGGUGAGACGAAGAGCUGGGCGUAGCAGCCACAGGUGGGGCUGCCAAAUAAAAUGCAAGAUGCGUGGUUAAAUCUGAAUUUCAGAUAAAUAACAAGUACUUAUGUUUUUGGGGGUUUUUUUGUUUUUUUGUUUUUUUUUUGAGAUGGAGUCUCGUUCUGUCGCCCAGGCUGGAGUGCAGUGGUGUGAUCUUGCCUCACUGCAAGCUCCACCUCCCGGGUUCAAGUGAUUCUCCUGCCUCAGCCUCCUGAGUAGCUGGGAUUACAGGCAUGUGCCACCAUGCCUGGCUAAUUUUUGUAUUUUUAAUAGAGACGGGGUUUCACCAUGUUGGUCAGGCUUGUCUUGAACUCUUGACCUCAGGUGAUCCACCCGCCUCGGCCUCCCAAAGUGCUGGGAUUACAGGCAUGAGCCACCACACCUGGUAACAAGUAGUUUUUUACUACCAGUGUGCCUCUAACAAUAUUUGAGAUAUACUAAAAAAAAAAGUUGUUUUUUAUCUGAAAUUCAAAUUUAGCUGAUAUCCUGUAUUUUUCUUUGUCAAAUGUGGCUUCUCUAAGCAUCAGUCCAGCCAUGGCCCAGGUGGUGAACCUGGAAAUUCAUUCCUCCCUCCAGAACUCUGUUUCCCUGCUCAGUGUUCUAGAAAGCAUCCCCUUCUCUGGCAAACCCUGUCCAAUCUCUCAGGGAAGAUGAGGCCUCCUUCCUCUUCCUGUCCUCCGUUAAUCGAUAUUCCCACCCCAACCCCUCCUAGAAUUUGGUGAUCUGGGGUCUGAAGUCUUCUACCAGGAGCUCAAGCUGAUGGGCUGAGAAGCCCAGUUCUGACGUGAAUUCUGCACCCCUCCUUCGGGAACAAGGAAGACCCAAGCUUGCUUAUCUCUAGAUCCUGCGGGGGGCUUUUGAGAAUCCCUAGUUUUGAGGCUGUGGGAUGGAGCUGCAUGGGAGAGCCAGGAGGAAGACCCUGGCACAGCACGCUCUGAGUAUGGGGUUGCUGCUGGCCCACCCUGUUCCCUCCACACUCUGGAGGAUGUGGAGUGGACGCCAUCAGGGUGCAGCCAUGCAGAACGGCUGGGUCUGUCCCUGUGUCCUCACGCACAGAGCUCUGGAAGGCAGGCAGACGUCCUCACACAUCUGUGAGCCAAAAGGCAAAAAACAAAAGAAGCAAACAAAAAAAUCCACUCCGAUGUUCUUAUGCUUAUGGGUUCUACAGACUUGCAUAUACAUAAUGUAAUGAAAAUUCUUGAUUUCAUCUUCAGAGACAUAAAUGGAAGAAAAUGUACAUAAAAGAGAGUCCACUUAAACAUGUGAUCCUCUCAAAGGAAGAAAAGAACAGGGCUCACUCAUCCACAUCAACCCGGUGAGGCCCGGACACCCCCCACCUCUUCUGCUUAGAGCCCUAUUAUCCUUUGAUCUCCCUAAUAAUGUGUUUCUUUCCUGGUAAUAGGUUUUCAUCAUCCUCACAGCCUAUUGAUUAGAACUCUUUUCCAGGGUUUUGAGAUAUUGGCUAAAAUAAGGGAUGAAAUGAUUCAGUCUUCAGGUGAUGUUUCAAAGGAGGCGUGUUCGUAAUGUCCUCCCGCGACGAGGGACCUGGCCAAGAGAAACUACGCAGGAGGCCCAGAAGGCAGAGCCUGCUCCAGGUCGGCCUCACUGCUGUCCCUUCUGACCUCUCGACAUUUUGGUUUUGGCAUGGUGAAUGGGGCUACCACAGUGGGCCAGCCAGCAUGACCCCCUGACCAGACCUGGAGGCAGGCAGAGGAAAGGAGAGGGCCAGGGAUGGGUGGGUGGCCGGGUGUGUGCCGUUUGCUGAAGUUGAGGCACUGUGGUUCCUGGAAUCCUCAGCCCAGGGACUUCUAAGACACAUCUCUAAGACACAAACAAGAUCUACACCUCUAAGAGGGAAGGAAUGACCGGCCCAUCGCAGGCUGUCUUCGACUGUUGGGGCUCCCAUGACAAAAUGCCAUAGACUUAGGGGCCGAUGAACAACAGCCAUUGGUUUCCCACAGUUCUGGAGGCUAGAAGUCCAAGAGCAAGGCUCCAGCAGAACGUCUGGUGAGGGCCGCUUCCUGAUUCAUAGACGGCACCUCUUUGCUGUGUCCCCGCCUGGUAGAGGGCUGAGGGAUCUCCCUCAGAACUCUUUUAAAAGGGCACUCUCCUCAUUCACCAGUGUUCCACCCUCAGGACCUAAUCACCUCCCAAGGGCCCCACCUUUUAAUACUAUUUAAUACCAUUGCAUUAAGGAUUAGGUUUCAACAUGUGAAACUGCAGGACACACACACUCAGCCCAUAGCAGAUGCCCUGAAGGGGCUGUGAAGUGUCGUGAGUAGAGCCCCAGGAAUGGAGGGUUCUGGAGGGGCACAUAGGUCCAACAGAGCGCAGGCAUAAGGUGGGAAGCCAGAGGGGGCUGUGUGGGCCGGACUGGGUCAAAUCAGGAGGCCUGGAGAUGCCUGGUGAGGAGCCCCGGUCCCACGAUGUAGGGGGCCUGUCGGCACAGGAGUGUAGGCCACGGGCUUGUGGGCAGCCUCCCUCAGGAGGGUGUGGGGCUGAUGAGCAGGUGUGGGCGCAGGUGCAUGCAUCAGGACGUGUCCCCUGCGGAAGCAGCUCCUGUAGGAUCACCUCCUCCACCAGCGACCAGGAAGGACAUUGCAUUUAGACUCUAGGUGAGUCCAGCUUCACUCAUCGCCAGCUGAGGCCUCAUUUUCUCAUCUCUAAGACAUAAACAACCACCCCCUCUUCCCAGGAACACACACACACACGCGCGCGCACACACGUGGUUCUGCGGCUCAUAACUAAAUGUAAUGAAAGGUAAACUAAAGUGCCCCUCCAUGGAAAUCGACCCCAAUUCAGCCUCUAAUCCUGAGAUGCAAGAUUCAGAACCAGUAUGUCAAGGAAAAGUGUUUCUCUGCAUUGAUCCUCGAGGAUACUAAAUGUAUAUUUUAAAAAAUAAAUUCUGUCCCAAGUGUUUGGUGAGACAGAGAGAGAAGCAGCCGCUUCUGAAGUGAGCACAAGGACGUGGCUUUUCUGGAGGCUUCCUCAUUGCAGGACCCAUCCAUCACCUUCAGGGGUUCGAUGAAACCGUUGCAAAUAUGAUCAAUCAUCUUUUUAUUGAAUUAAGACAAAUGGCUGGUUAUUAAUAGGCUAAGACUUAAUGAGGAAAAUGGAUAAUGCCGCACAGGGAAAAGGCAAAGAACUGUGCACACAGCCUCUGCACUUUUUCUAGAAAGAUCUGGAAGUGUCUUCAGUGAGAAAAGCCCCGGGCUGGAUGACCUCUUUGAUUCACACUAAGGACUCAAGGAAGCAAAAACUCCUAGGUUGACCCUUUCUCCACCACCUUCUAUCUGUGUGAUCUUCAGGCAGUGACUUGACCUCUCUGAACUUCUGUCUCUUCACAAAGGUGCUUGGCUUAUGAUGUUGUGCCUGGCAGACGCAGACUGAGAGAAGCAGAGUCCUGGCCUCCAAAAUCUGAGUUGUGUGUGGGACAGAAUGGUGUGCUUCACCUGCGGUUCUGAGGGGGCCGGCGGGAUCAGAUGCUGGCACAGGACAUGGGAAGGGGGUGCGUGUGGGGCAGAGCCGUGCAGCAGGUGCACAGCUGUGCAAGGUCCCCUGAUGGGCCCUCUCUGCUCCAUGUUUCCAGAAAUCCUUGGAAAGGAGCUCAAGUGGCACAGUAUCUGGAGCGUGUUGUGGACUUGGUUGGGAUGCCUGGUGUCUGUUUAUGGCAGCACUUCUGGGGAAACAGAUUGUGUUUAUGUCAGAAAGAAAAGACCAUGUUUCGGGGCAAUCCCUGCAGCUCGUUAGGUCAAAUCAACACCCCCAGCCCAUCUGCCUCCGCAGGGUGCCUCGGCCCCACUCAGUGCCGGCAGACAGGAGCCUCCCAGGGAGCAGCCGAGCUCCAGGGCGGGGGAGCCACCACCGAGCACAAUAGCCAAUCAGCCCCUUCCUAGAAGCAAGUCAGGCUGCCCGGCGUGCUUUCUGUCUGUCGUUCCUGCAGCCUCCACGGGCACCGGCCCAGGUGGUCCCUGGCUGGAUGGUCAGAACUCAGAGCUGUGAGCUGUGGCUGCUGAUUCCCUCCUGAACAACAGGGUCUAGGGAGACAGGCAGACACAGAAACCUCAAGUGAAGUGGGGGCUGCGGGCUGGGGGUGCUGCACGGGGCAGUCAGGGGCACAGCAAAGAGGACGUGACCUCAGGUCCUCGGCAGCAGGGAGGGAAGGCAUGGAGUACAUGCUUUCCUCUGGGAAACACUCAUAUCCGAUUCACAUGAUAUUGUCCGCAGUGCUGAGCCUGGCAGACCUACAUCUUCAUCUUUUUGGUGCGUUAAUGAGGAUUUUUAUUUCUUCUUUAAUGAUUAAUUCCUAAAAUUAUAAUACUUAUGUGAAUAGUACCAAUGCUUAAUAUUUUUGAUAAAAAUUUAAAAAUUGAGCUCCAAAAGGGAUUCACCAAUUAAUAUUUCCAUCAUCAUUAUGCAGAAGUUGCUAUUUACUCACAUCCUUAAUUAUAGAGGAAAGUAUCAAUGAAUGUUUACCAAUUUAAUGACUCAAAUAUUUUCAUAUCUAUAUUUCUCCAUUAUUAGUGACAUUGUGCACUUUUACUUAUGUGUAUUGACGAUUUGUACUUUUACUCUGUGAAUUUCUUUUUCUCUUCUUUUUUUCAACUUUUAUUUUAGAAUUGGAGAGUACAUGUGCAGGUUUGUUAUGAAGUUAUAUUGCGUGAUGCUGAGGUUUGGAGCAUGAGUGAAUCUGUUACCCAGGUACUGAGCAUAGUACCCAAUAGGUAGUUUUCUUUCUACCUUGCCCCCAGGAGUCCCCAGUAUCUAUUUUUCCCAUCUUUGUGUCCAUCUGUACCUAAUGUUUAUCUCCCACUUACAAGUGAGAAAACGUGGUAUUUGGUUUUCUGUUCCUGCAUUAAUUUGCUUAGGAUAAAAGUUUCUAGCUGCAUCCAUGUUGCUGUGAAGGACAUGGUUCCAUUCUUUUUCAUGGCUGUGUAGUAUUCCACGGUGUCUGUGGGUUUUUUUUAAAGGUUGUUUUUGAAGAAUACUUGACAACAUGGAGAAAUUCUCAAUGCGUGAAAAAAAAGUAAAAGGAAAGUAAAAGGGAACAGAAGUAUAUAUAAAGCAUGUUCCAAUAUUGUCCAAAAAUAUUAUUAUUGAUUAUCUGGGAGAAGUUUAUGGGUAUUUAUGCUUUUUUCCAUCUUUGAAAAAUACUCUGAGAAUAUGCAUUAGUUUUAUGAGGAAAGUGCAUGUUAUAAAGCCUAAAGAUGAAUUGUGUCUCCCCACAAAAGAUAGGUUGAGGGACUCAGCCUGUGGCCUGAUUUGGAAGCAGGGUCACUACAGAUGGAAUUAGUUGAGGUGAGGUCGUCCUGGAGUAGGUGAACUCCAAUCCAAGAUGACUCAUGUUUUUGCCAG